This 638-nucleotide ribosomal RNA is filed under the name Lichtheimia ornata. RNAcentral's name for it is "eukaryotic LSU rRNA". It matches the Rfam family "Eukaryotic large subunit ribosomal RNA", at positions 72 to 614 of the family's 3401-position model. Lineage: Eukaryota; Fungi; Mucoromycota; Mucoromycetes; Mucorales; Lichtheimiaceae. The record is from RNAcentral.
UGAUUCCCCUAGUAACGGCGAGUGAAGAGGGAAAAGCUCAAAGUUGGAACCUGGCUGUCCUAGAUAGUCCGGAUUGUAAACUAAAGAGCGUGAGUCCAGGCAAGCCGGUUGAUCAAGUCCUUUGGAAUGAGGCGCCACUGAGGGUGAGAGCCCCGUAAAUCGACUGAGCAUUUGUCUUUUGUGUCUCGCGUUCAAAGAGUCAGGUUGUUUGGGAAUGCAGCCUAAAGCUGGUGGUAAAUCCCACCUAAAGCUAAAUACAGGCGAGAGACCGAUAGCGAACAAGUACCGUGAGGGAAAGAUGAAAAGUACUUUGAAAAGAGAGUUAAACAGUAUGUGAAAUUGCCAAGAGGGAAGCAUUUGGAGUUAGACUGACUUGGAGUUAAUCAGCUUGGUCUUUGGACUGGGUGUACUUGACUUCUAUGUCUGCCAACAGCAGUUAGUCCUGAUGGAAAAAACUGAAGGGAAGGUAGUCCUUCGGGAUGUUUAUAGACCUUUGGAAAAUACACUGGGAUUGACUGAGGAAUGCAGUAGAUGCUAUUAAGGCUUCGUCUAUUGGGUGUUAGGUAAAGGUACUUGGUAUUUUCAGCUUGCUGAUGUGCUAGGUUACUUGAGCUUAAUUGCCUAGUAGAACUGUAAUC